Molecule: long non-coding RNA, 527 nt
Organism: Oreochromis aureus
Lineage: Eukaryota; Metazoa; Chordata; Actinopteri; Cichliformes; Cichlidae
Source: Ensembl
UCACAGUGACGAACAAGAAGAAAGGAGAAAAAAAGAGCACGAGCGCGCAUCGUUAAAGCAGACUAACGUGAAAACACGUGACGAGACGAAGUCCGCACAGGCUCAGGAACAGACUUCAUCCUUUUACUUUAACCAUGAAACAUGAAGCUGUCGCUCAUAAUGAGACAGGAGCUCAGCUUUCAGCGUCACAGCUGGAACAACAUCAGCUGACAUGAAAGAAACACAGAGGUUUGUUCCCUGUUAGCAAAGAUGAAGAUGGAGAGCGUGAGGGAACUACAGAGAGGAGGAGGAGGAGGACACGGGCUGUGAGGGACGCAGUGGACCAGCCCUCAGACCUACAUCAGCAGGAGCGAGGACGACCCCCCAGUCUGAGGACGUUCCUCCACAUGAAUGGGGGACAGGAGGCGCAGCUUCCAGCCCAGCUGGUAGGAAAGUCCUCCUUGGGUGGACUUCUCUGUAACUAUGGACUCAUGCAUGCAGACGUUUCAGUCCACAGUGAUGUCAGUCAGUGCUUUUUAAAGCCGUGC